Molecule: ribosomal RNA, 253 nt
Filed under: uncultured bacterium
Lineage: Bacteria
Description: partial 16S ribosomal RNA
Rfam family: Bacterial small subunit ribosomal RNA
Source: RNAcentral
UACGGAGGGGGCUAGCGUUGUUCGGAAUUACUGGGCGUAAAGCGCACGUAGGCGGACUGGAAAGUCAGGGGUGAAAUCCCGGGGCUCAACCCCGGAACUGCCUUUGAAACUCCCAGUCUUGAGGUCGAGAGAGGUGAGUUGAAUUCCGAGUGUAGAGGUGAAAUUCGUAGAUAUUCGGAGGAACACCAGUGGCGAAGGCGGCUCACUGGCUCUAUACUGACGCUGAGGUGCGAAAGCGUGGGGAGCAAACAGG